UACAGAGGUGGCAAGCGUUGUUCGGAUUAAUUGGGCGUAAAGGGUUCGUAGGCGGUUUGGAAAGUCAGAUGUGAAAUCCCACAGCUCAACUGUGGAACUGCAUUUGAAACUUCCAGACUAGAGUAUGAGAGGGGUAAAGGGAAUUCCCGGUGUAAGGGUGAAAUCUGCAGAGAUCGGGAGGAACACCAGUCGCGAAGGCGCUUUACUGGCUCAUUACUGACGCUCAGGAACGAAAGCUAGGGGAGCAAACGGG
This 253-nucleotide ribosomal RNA is filed under the name uncultured bacterium. RNAcentral's name for it is "partial 16S ribosomal RNA". It matches the Rfam family "Bacterial small subunit ribosomal RNA", at positions 524 to 776 of the family's 1533-position model. The record is from RNAcentral.